UCAGAGAGAUUGGAUAAAGCCGGAGAAGAAGUAGUGCAAGGAUAGAGCUGCUUGCAAACUACAUUUUCAUGUGUUUUGGCUCUACCCUUGCACUGCCUCUUCCCUGGCUAUUAUGUCUCCUCUACAU
Beta vulgaris subsp. vulgaris (sugar beet) is the source of this 127-nucleotide non-coding RNA. NCBI's taxonomy places the organism in Eukaryota, Viridiplantae, Streptophyta, Magnoliopsida, Caryophyllales, Amaranthaceae. The record is from Rfam.